Molecule: long non-coding RNA, 842 nt
Organism: Lactuca sativa (garden lettuce)
Lineage: Eukaryota; Viridiplantae; Streptophyta; Magnoliopsida; Asterales; Asteraceae
Source: RefSeq, a predicted model, not a curated record
GUCACCCCUUAUACCUCCCGUGUUCAGCCGCCAACCCACCCUAUCUCUUCUAGUUGCAGCCGCACCUCACGACUCCUCCAUCACCGAUCAUUGUUCCUCGCUUGUGAAGUCGGAGGGCCACCGAGAUAUUGCCGCUGCCACCGGUAUAGCCGGGAACGCCAACUAAAGGGUCGUGGAACCCCUUCAGCCGCCGCCAAGGACCACCGAACCCUCUCCGUCCUUCUCUCUAUCUUCCUCUCGCCGACAGUCGCACGUUGCUGAGAAGGAACCGUCGUGUUAGGCGAUUGGGCACCGGAUGGGGGAAACUAUCGUCGAGUCAGGAUCGUAGCACCACCAUGAGCGUCGCUGUUGCAUCCAUUCCGUGACCAUCGAAGUGCCACCACCGCUACCGGCUUCUAGAAGCGCUAAGCAUAGUUGGGAAGCCGUCGAGAUUGAGAAGAAAGUCCUGUCAGUUGUGGUGCGAAUCGGGAAGCGAUGUUGCAAUGUUGCUGCCGCCUCCUCGGAGGUUUCGUCAUCGCCAACCGCCACCAGGAGGGUGGCUGGAUCCACUGGCAAACAAGAAAGUUUCGGGAAUCUGUCAGCCAGCAGCUGGGGUGGAGUCUGCGGGACUACAGCAGUGUGGAAUUGUGUCUACGGGACUUCAGCAGUGUGAGGUACUCAGUUUUCAAAAGAUGAGCUCGGGAAGAUUGCAGUGCACACACCAUUUGUUCAGCCUGGGAUGUUUAUACUUUGAUAUAUUUGACAGCUGUUAACAUAUUUUGAGAUACAUUCUUUAUGAUUCUUAUAUGACGUUUGAUGGAUAUGGUUUUAUUACUAAUUUAAAACGAAAUUUUCAGACUAUA